CGGACGGGUGAGUAACGCGUGGAUAACCCUGCCCCAUACCGGGGGAUAACAGCCGGAAACGGCUGCUAAUACCGCAUAAGCGCACAGGAAUGCAUAUUCCAGUGUGAAAAACUCCGGUGGUAUGGGAUGGAUCCGCGUCUGAUUAGCUAGUUGGCGGGAUAGAGGCCCACCAAGGCGACGAUCAGUAGCCGACCUGAGAGGGUGGCCGGCCACAUUGGGACUGAGACACGGCCCAGACUCCUACGGAAGGCAGCAG
RNAcentral lists this ribosomal RNA (256 nucleotides) under uncultured bacterium. Its description in RNAcentral is "partial 16S ribosomal RNA". It matches the Rfam family "Bacterial small subunit ribosomal RNA", at positions 99 to 354 of the family's 1533-position model. The record is from RNAcentral.